Non-coding RNA from Microcebus murinus (gray mouse lemur), 1850 nucleotides. The record is from RefSeq and is a predicted model, not a curated record. Lineage: Eukaryota; Metazoa; Chordata; Mammalia; Primates; Cheirogaleidae.
GUGCCUCCCGCGCGUCAGCACACAGAAUCCCACAGCUGCCCCACUGCACUCUUGCCUUGGAGGUUUCUCCAUUUGCCCUUCUUGUCCUCUAAAAGGGCUUGCUUUCCCAUCACCUGACACCCUGAGAUGUUUUCCUUCCUUAUCUAGCUUGCUAGGUCCCGCCUUGUUUAAAUUUGUGUUUCUUUAAUUAUAAGAUGGCACAUCUUCCCACGUGUCUAUUCACCACCUGAAUUUCCUCACACAAUUUUCCGCACACAAAAUUGUUUACUUAGUGUACUAUGAGUUGAACAGGCAAUAAGUCUGGGGAAAGUGAACGUGUGAAAAAGGAUCUAUCAAGGAAAGUUCCAGGAGAGAAGAGGAGGAAAGAGCUCGACAGGCAGGUUGAUCAGCAUGAGAGUACAGUGUGAAGGCCAAACCGGCAGAAGUGAAGGAUUAUUUAGAAGUAAGACUGGAGAAGUAAGCAGGAAGGAGGUGGUCCAUAAAAAAGCAUGAAUCCUGGAAGAAUAGGAAAGGCAUUCUACGCAGGCAAGGUAUGGUGUGCACAAGGAAUGAACUUAACAUGUCCAGAGAAAUACAAGCAGACAGGCAUUCUGGGGUAACAAAGACAAGUGUGGGGAAAGAGAAAAAAACUGCCAAAGAUCUUGAACGCUGGACAGGAGAUUAUUUGUGAAAUGCUGGGUCAAUGUUUGCCUUGCAUGUUUCAAACAGACACACCUGUGAGCUGGGUGAGGCAUUUCAAGGAAAAACGUCACGUUUGUUGAUGAGAUGGGGUCCCUGCUACUAACAACAAUGUAUAAAGGUGGAGCUAAACCAUCAUUUCUCCUCUUUCCUUCCUUCUCUUUGAUAUCAAAGCUAUCAGGCCAAAGCAAUGCCAUCACGAAAGUGCUAUCCAAAAUUAUGUCAUUGGGGAGUGCUAUCCUCAAAGGAACACUGAACUUAAAGAGGAUUUGAGUUCAAGUUGCAUCUCACCUACCUACUAACUUUUGUCCACAACAAUUUAACCCUCGAACACCUCAAAGUCGUUGUCUGAAAAUAGGAAUGAUAAGACCUACUUCUCAGGAUUGUGGGAAAAAUGAAAUAAGAUGAGAUCAUGUGAAAGAGCUUUUAAAUGUAGAAACACUAAAUAUUGUUUUCUAUUGUGUUUCUAUGUUCUAUGGCUUAUUGGACUAGAGUACACAUUGGAGUCUGAGGUAGUAAGGAAAAACCAGGAAGGUAUAAUUUCCAUGACCCAAACAGUAGGGUGCUCUGGGAGUGGAUGACAGAGAAAGACAAAGGUGAAUGUGUGCUGAGGGCAACAGGAGCUCAUGGAAUAGGACAAACAAGGAGCCUACCCAAAGGAUAUGGCUUUGUGAGAACAGGACAAAAAUAAGAAGAUAGGAACAGGAAUGCUUGGAAAAGAACUGAGGAAUAUAGGGCCACUAUUUGUAGCUCAUUCAUUCAACAAUAUUUUCUGAACAUCUACUUUGUUCUAAGCACUAAGCACUGUGCUAGAAGCUCAUUUAGUAUUGACAUGUGGGUCAGAAUGCCAACCCUGCUCAAUCCCUUCCUAUAGAACCUGUGCCUGCUCACAGCCAUUAUGACCUCACCACCAUCACCACCCUACCACCCCCAGUUCUGCCAGACCUGACUGAAUCGAGGGAUAGCAUGAGACCCAAGCUGGACCAAUCAUAGUCUCUUCCUAGAUAACUAAAAUAAGACUCCCUGGAACUAAGUAAGAUGUGGUGAGAGCCCACGCAACCACACUGGACCAACGGUGGAAGCUAGAUGUGGAGAAUGACAAAGCUGCCUUAUGCCACCAAUCUUUGAGCCACUAUGUAAAAGAAAUAAACUUCCGUCCUUUUUUAAAACCA